GCCCCGCCCCCGCCCAGGCCCCGCCCCCAUGGCUCCGCGUGGGCGGUGCUCGCGCCAGCCGGCCCUUCCCUGCUACUGGCUCCCGGCCAGCUGGGCGGGUCCCGGGCGAAACUUGCCCUUGCUCUGGGCCACCCCAGGAACCGGCCCACGGGUCCCCGGCCUCUGCCCCGCCCCAUUCCGGCUUGGCCCCGCCUCCGUUUCUUAGGGGUAGGUUCUGUUGCUGUGGGAAGGGGGCGGAGAGAAGGAAACCUUAUUUCAGCCGUGCGCUAGAUUAGACACAGCUAGAAUGUCUCCAUUGUGACGGGGGCUGAGGGACAAGGGGGUGCGGUCUCCUCGCUCUCGGUUCGGUGUGGCCAGCCAGCCCAGAGAGCCAUGGAGCUAAUGACCUCAGAGCAAAACAGGCGCUUGGGAGCCGCUGGGUAUGAGGCGCCAGUUUCACGGAUGAGGCAGGACGGGACGCUUCCUGUCAUUUUACCGUGACUUGCCCCAGGAGGUCACACGGUCAAGUGAAAGAUUCACACCUAUGUCGGCCUCCUGACAUUCAAACCUGCUCUGUCUUAAGAACCAAGCUUACUUCUCCGGAUCAGGGAGGAAGGGCUAGAAAGGAGAUCAAUGGCAGAGAGAGGAGUGGGGGUUCCUCCCCUCCCAUCCUUCUCUUAGGGCCAGGGCUGAGAGCAGUCCGGGAAUGCUGAGCAAGUUCUGUGUCUACCGCCAGGGGGAGACAGAGGCCAGGCUAAGCCCUUGCCUAAGAAGAGUAAAAGCACACUCACUGGAAGACCAGGACAGAGCCCAAUGCCUGGUUGGCUGCCCGUUCUUCCUAACUUCUCCCCUCUGGGAGAGGGUGGUACUGACCUGAUGCCACAAGAGCUCUGUCUCUAAACCUCCUAUCAGAAAGUUGAUCGCUAGGUAUCCACAGACACCACCCAUCCACACAUCUCAAAUGGGGACAACGCCGUUGUGGCCCUCAAGCAAGUUGGAAGUAGCCAUCAGGGACUACGGCACCCAGUUCACGGCUGGAACUUUUCUGGGCUCUGUCGGCCAGGUGCUUCCUGACCACAUACCACUUUGUUCCCCAGGCUAAACUGUGUCCCCAGAAGGGAUGACUUUCUUGGCAGCUUCCAAAUAAAGAUCCCACAGUGGUCCUUCAGGUUGGUAGACUUACUAUGCCUGCUUUGUUACACCUGAGCUUUAGGCAGAGAGAGACAGAGGAAAAGAAGUCACAGGAGAGAAAAAAAACAGACCCCAAGGCAAAUAGAGCAGCAAAAGAAGACGGGGACAAAGAACAGGCUGCUUCUAUAGGUUUUCCCCUGCUAUUUGAGAAAAACUGGAACCAACUCUCAGAUAAAUAACAGCAGCAGCAAGCCAGCAACUGAAGAAACAAAUAUAACUCCUGGUUGUUUUUAUUAUUCAGUGUUUCUGGGACAGUUUACUUACCACUUCUUCGUGUCACCCAGCUCCCUAUUCCCUGCCCUUUCUAGCACCCACCAUGGUGUGGCUGCAAGCUGUCCGCAAAGCUAAGCCAAGAGACCCCCCCAGCCCCAGCACCAGAUGAUCAGCAGGGAGAAUAACAGCUCCCUGGGGCUCCAGAACAGCCCCCAGCCAUGGCCUAAUCCUAAGGCUCCUCCUCCCUGAACCUCUCACCUCCUAUUCCUGGCACCAUUAUGCCUCCUCCAUCCUCAGACUGCCCCAGAACCUGGUGAGGUCAUCACCUCUACUCAUCCCUGAGGCAGCGGAAAGUGAGAGAGAAAAGGGGAUGGGGUAUGAAGAAGCAGACUUGUGGGAUGUUUUUCUCUGUGAAGAGUGAGACUCUGCUUAGUGGCUGGCCCUGCUGGGGGAGUGUGAAGCUUGAACCAAGGAGGGGGACUGGACAGCCUCAAGACAGGCCCCUUUAUCUCAGGCCACAGUGGUGGCUCAGGGCCCAGAACUGGUCAUCUUCUGCCUUGUCUCUCCCCUUCACAUCACCCUAAACCCAAAGGCCUCUUAAACUAAGAGGAAAGUCCCUUCAAAUUCACAGAACACCACUUCCUCUCAUUUGUCUAAUACAUUCGCAUCCAAAACA
RNAcentral lists this long non-coding RNA (2059 nucleotides) under Homo sapiens (human). Its description in RNAcentral is "HSALNT0294699". The record is from RNAcentral. Lineage: Eukaryota; Metazoa; Chordata; Mammalia; Primates; Hominidae.